CGUCGAGGAGAUUUCCCAGACCAUCGAUUCUGAGACUUUUGCUGUUCAGAACUGUGUCGUCUUUGCUGGACCGUUAGCUACAACUUCCAUUACUACCAACGCCAAAUUCGAAGUCAAAAGUCCUAAGCGUGUCCAGAUUAAAUUUGAUGAAGGCAUAAUUGGAACACCCCAGUUGACGGAUUCUAUUGAGCUGCCUGAGAACGUCGAAUUCUUGGGACAAAAAAUUGAUCUAAGCCCUUUCAAAGGCUUGAUUAAUUCAGUCCAAGACACAGCUUCUUCAGUAGCCAAGUCUAUUUCCAGUCAACCACCAAUUAAGUUUCCUAUUUCCAACAGCAAUGCACAAUCUUGGCUGCUGACAACAUACCUGGAUGAUGAGCUUAGGAUUUCCAGAGGAGAUGGAGGCAGUGUAUUUGUGUUGAUCAAGGAAGGCAGUCCCCUCUUGAAGCCUUAAAAAGACAUUUUCUUGAAGUUGUGUAUGAUGCUAGCUAGUAUAGAAGAGCAAAAUAUAGAAAGGAAAAAAUAAAAGAUGAUGUAAACUAAAAAUAUGUAUUUACAUUGAAAGAUAAAUCUAUAGAUCUGCUUGACCUCAUGAUUUGUAACUAUUGAGGUUUCCUGGUGUAUCAAAUAUUGGAAAUAUAUGGCUUGAAAGAAUUAGCAUAUGAACUACGCUGGAAU
Molecule: non-coding RNA, 675 nt
Organism: Nicotiana tabacum (common tobacco)
Lineage: Eukaryota; Viridiplantae; Streptophyta; Magnoliopsida; Solanales; Solanaceae
Source: RefSeq, a predicted model, not a curated record